Molecule: ribosomal RNA, 309 nt
Filed under: Triticum aestivum (bread wheat)
Lineage: Eukaryota; Viridiplantae; Streptophyta; Magnoliopsida; Poales; Poaceae
Description: partial small subunit ribosomal RNA
Source: RNAcentral
AUGUCUGCCGAUCAAACGGUGAAAAUGUCCAUGCUUCUACUAUUGUCCUUGCUGCUCAUUUCUUAUGGAAUUGGCAACACCCGAUGCUCGACAGUCCCUGGUAACAGUGAGGACAUGCUCUCGUUGCUAGAUUUCAAGCGAGCCAUCACCAGUGAUCCAAGGCAAGCCUUGAGCUCAUGGAACACUAGCAUCCACCAUUGCCAGUGGGAGGGUGUCAACUGCAGCUUGAAGCACGCAGGCGUGUCACCGCGCUCAACCUCACAGACCAAAGUUUGCAAGGUCAAAUUGCUCCCUCUCUUGGAAAUCUAA